AUACUUCUUCUUCCGUCCAACAAAAGAUGUCUCAACUUUGACCAAAUUUAAAUGCAUUUAUACACUAAGUCAUGUCUAGAUACAUUCAAAUUUUGACAAACUUGAGACAUCUUUUGUUGGACGGUGGUAAUAUAUA
This is a non-coding RNA of Brachypodium distachyon (stiff brome), 136 nucleotides long. The record is from Rfam. Lineage: Eukaryota; Viridiplantae; Streptophyta; Magnoliopsida; Poales; Poaceae.